Molecule: non-coding RNA, 249 nt
Organism: Pelobates cultripes (western spadefoot toad)
Lineage: Eukaryota; Metazoa; Chordata; Amphibia; Anura; Pelobatidae
Source: the annotation of a GenBank genome assembly
CAGUCUUUGCGCAGGCACUUUGGUGACUCUAGAUAACCUCGGGCCGAUCACACGUCCCCGUGACGGCGACGACGCAUUCGGAUGCCUGCCCUAUCAACUUUUGAUGGUACUUUAUGCGCCUACCAUGGGGACCACAGAUAAUGGGGAAACAGGGUUCGAUUCCGGAAAGGGAGCCUGAGAAACGGCUACCAUAUCCAAGGAAUGCAGCAGGCGCGCAAACUACCCACUCCUGAUGCGGGGAGGUAGUGA